Molecule: ribosomal RNA, 492 nt
Filed under: uncultured bacterium
Lineage: Bacteria
Description: partial 16S ribosomal RNA
Rfam family: Bacterial small subunit ribosomal RNA
Source: RNAcentral
AGUGAACGCUGGCGGUAUGCCUAACACAUGCAAGUCGAACGGCCGCACAGUAAGCUCUUGCUCUUACGGUUUGCGACUGGCGGACGGGUGAGGCAUACAUCGCCUUCUUCUUUUUCUUGGGUGAUUACGUAGGUCAACUUCCGCUACUACCUCAUACUUCCUACCGGUUAAUUCAGUGGAUCUUCGCACCUUUCCCGUUUCUUUUAGCCGAGGUCGGAUUAGCUAGUUGGCUUGUUAAAGGCCCACCAAGGCGACGAUCCGUAGCUUGUCUGAGAGGAUGAUCAGCCACACUGGAACUGAGACACGGUCCAGACUCCUACGGGAGGCAGCAGUGGGGAAUAUUGGACAAUGGGCGAAAGCAUGAUGGAGCAAGACCGCGUGGGUGAAGAAGGACUUCGGGUUGUAAAGCACUGUUGUUGGGAAAGAAAAGAAGAAGGAGAAAAAGAGGAUGUAAUGACGGUACCCAAAGAAAAAGCAACGGCUAACUACGUG